AUCCUUCCACCGUUGGAAGCGGGCAGUUGUCGCUGCUCUGUGAAGCCAGCCUCACGCUGUGCCUGCCACAUUAUGGACCGUGAGGCCCAGCUUUCGCAUGGGCCCCAGCCGGUCCACUACGCAACUUGGAACGGGCGGGCCUGCAGUAGCACACCCAGACCAGGCCUGCAGCGCUACACCAGCGUCCACAUCACCUUAAUGCCCCCACUCGGGUUACAAGCUCUCGCUACUGAGCUCGGCGAGUGAAGAGAGUGGAGGCGCGUAUUUAAGAUGGUCAAGCGCCUUCUCGGUUGGCGAGGUGGGACUAAACAAGGAGGAGUGGACUGCUUCCUUCUGCGUCUGAGAGAUGUUCUUAGUGUGGGCUUUUGGCAUUUGUCGUUUUGGGCUAAUUAAUGAACGUGGCCACGUGGACAUGGUUUGGGCAGCCCAUUCGUUGAUUUCAGUGCUAAUUAGGAUAGUGAACCUGCUUCGCACAAAUGGAAACAGUAUAAAAGUGCAGCAAGAUUAAAGCAUGGGACAAAUAUUUUACUUUUACGGCAUGUAAAGCUGCCUCCACAUACUAUAUGAAUGAUGCAUCGUCAAGUACACCAUCGGAUGCAGGUGGCUCAACAGGCACUUCUCUUUUCGAGGGGUCGUUUAUCACAAGCAUUUUUUGGCAUCAGCAUGAAGCCAUCGAGGAGUCUCAUGAACUAUGCAUCGUCAAGUUGAGAUGAUGAAACAUCCGACAAUGAGAGCGAAUCGUGUGAUAAAUAACCUGGCGAUGAUCAAAAUAAGGACCAAAGGGCAAAGGGAUCCAAGACAAGAAGAAGAUCAAAGCACGAAAAGCAAGAACGAACCACAGCAUCAUCAUCAUCUAUGAAGCCCACACCAUGAUGUGCACAGGGUAGACGGCUUUACAACAAAUCCUAACAUGUACAGAGUCACUGACAUUCACUUGUGCCCCAGAACAGGAAGCUGCGAUGUAGUCCUGACUCCUGAGGAGUGCCGAAGCGACGAUGUGCGCAAUCCUCAGCUUUAUGUGCCCACGACGUGGCGCUGGCCGAACCCCGCUCCUCCUUUCACCUUUGUAGACAUUGAUGAGAUCGCCGGCGCAAACUCUCUCGCCCAUGGUGGUGAAGGAGAUGUCUGUCCGUGAGCUUCCUUGGUUGCUUGGUUGCACUUAUGCUUGAUGCCUGCUCCCUGCGAGGUGGCCUAUUUAUAAGGCAUCAGGGAGUUGUAUCCGGAUCCAAGACAUGACGGCUAGAUUGUUGCUCCUUUGCCAUCGACUGUAUUUGGAUGAUGUUCAUUUUUUAAAUGCAACCCUGUAUUUAGACUGUAGUAGUGUCUGUCUGUUGGUAUGAGAAGCUUCAGUUGAUGUGUUUUGUUCCAGUCAUGAUUUGGGGCUGUUUGUUCCUGUGUUAUCUGCAAAUCUUUGACUCUUGAACAGCCACUGAAUGCACCCUGUCAGGACAAAUGAUUUGCCAAUUUUGGACACCUGUGGUGUCUAGUACAUGUAUCAUGUAUGUGUGCAGAGCAGAGAAUGGUUACCGACCUGUGAUGUCCCCAGGUCCAGAGUAUUAAUUUAUCCAUGAAGAAGCAUCUGCGAUUAUGACUGUUGAUUGUGUGAUUAUGCUUGUUAAUUCGAGGCAGUCAGAAAGUUCCUGUCUCAUGCUUGCUGCUAAUCAUUUGCAUUGUCCGGUCUGAUGAAGUGGUUGUUGCAGUCGAGUGGUUGGCUGAACACCUGUGCUGUACUGCUGUAGCCAUGGAAGACAGUUUUUUGGUCAACCUUUUGUUGACAAAUUAAUCCAUGGAUGUCUCCUGUGAUUGGUCAUAGGACCUUAGCAUUUUUCUUGAGGUGUCACAUUUAUGUUGAUCAUUUGCAUUCCAUGAACCAGGAAAGCUGAGCGUGAGUGAUGAAACAAGACCAUUAUAAUGAAGAGUAGCUCAUUUAUUUUUUGUAUCCAGCUUACUCUGCUCUAAACAAACUAGCUUCCUUUUUAAAGAGUGUAACAAGAAAAAGAUUUGAAAGCAUAGAAAGGUGAAAUAUAAGAAGCACCAACUAGGCCAAAGUCAACCUCACAACUACGGUCUUGAUGGUUGAAAAAAGAUGAUAAAAAAAAGUGAUGGUUCGUUGGAGUAGGUUGCGAGGCCCAAGCGGCCGAGGAGUGCAGCGGCCCGUUAUCCUUCCACCGUUGGAAGCGGGCAGUUAUCGCUGCUCUGUGAAGCCAGCCUCACGCUGUGCCUGCCACAUUAUGAACCGUGAGGCCCAGCUUUCGCAUAGGUCCCAACCGAUUCACUACGCAACUUGGAACGGGCGGGCCAGCAAUAGCACACCUCAACCAGGUCCGCAACACUACAACAGCGUCCACAUCACCUUGAUGCCCCCACUCGGGUUACAAGCUCUCGCUACUGAGCUCGGCGAGUGAAGAGAGUGGAGGCGAGUAUUUAAGCUGGUCGAACGCUUCCUCGGUUGGCGAGGUGGGACUAAAAUAAGUGGGGUGUGGACUGAAAAUUGUUUCUGGGGUGGGCUUCUGCGGCUUCUGUCUUUGACGUUUUGGGCUCAUGAACAUGGCCAUGCGGACACGGUUUAGGCAGCCAUUCGUUGGGUUCGAACGAGUGCUAAUUAGCAUACUGAACUUUCUUAGCAGAAAUGGAAACAAUAUCUAAACUGAUGCAUGUUUAAAGCUUCAGGGAGUUCUAUCCGGAUCCAACACGUGACAGCUAGAUUCUUGCUCCUUUGCCAUCGACGGUAUUUGGAUGAUGUUCAUUUUUUAAAUGCAACCCUGUAUGUAGGCUCUAGUGUCUGUAGUAUAUAAAGCUGUAUGUAGUGUCUGUCUGCUGGUAGGAGAAGCUUCCGUUGAUGUUUUUUGUUUCGUUCAUGACUUGCGACUGUUUGUCCCUGCAUUAUCUGCAAAUCUUUGACUCUUGAACACACACCGUGUGCACCUCUCUGGCCAAAUGAUUUGCCAAAUUUGGACACAUGCAGAGCAAAGAAUAGUUGCCAAUGAAAAGCAUCUGUGAUUAUGCUUGUUAACUGUGCGAUUAUGUUAUCUCAUGCUUGCUGCCAAUCAUUUUGUGUUAAUUGUCUUGUCUGAUGAUGUAGCUUCUGCAGUCUAGUGGUUGGCCUUGACCGGUCUUGGUUGAACACAUGUGUUGUACACAUAUUAAAUUAAUCCAUGCCGGUCUUCUAUAAUUGAUCAUAAGUCUGAGUGUGAUUAAUCAAGAUAUUAUGAUGAGGGAUGGGACAAAGUACCAUUUUUUAGCUUAUCAUUUGCAUUCCAUGAACAAGGAAAACUGAGUUAAUUUUGCAUUCCAUGAACAAGGAAAACUGAGUGUGAUAAAGGCAGGGACAGAGUAGUAUCCAGGUUUCCCUACUCUAACAAACUAGCCUCCUUUUAAACAGUGUAAGAAGAAAAAUAUUGGAAGGAUAGAAAAAUGAAAAAAAAGUGAUGGUUCGCUGGAGUAGGCUGCGAGGCCCAAGCGGCCAAGGAGUGCAGCGGCCCGUUAUCCUUCCACCGUUGGAAGCGGGCAGUUAUCGCUGCUCUGUGAAGCCAGCCUCACGCUGUGCCUGCCACAUUAUGAACCGUGAGGCCCAGCUUUCGCAUAAGCCCUGCCGGUCCACUACGCAACUUGGAACGGGCGGGCCAGCAAUAGCACACCUCAACCAGGUCCGCAGCGCUACAACAGCGUCCACAUCACCUUGAUGCCCCCACUCGGGUUACAAGCUCUCGCUACUGAGCUCGGCGAGUGAAGAGAGUGGAGACGGGUAUUUAAGCUGGUCGAACGCUUUCUCGGUUGGCGAGGUGGGACUAAACAAGGAGGAGUGGAGUGCUUCCUGCUGUGACUGAGAGAUGUUCUCAGCGUGGGCUUUUGCAGCUUGUCGUUUUGGGCUCAUGAGCGUGGCCAUGUGGACCUGCUGUGAUUAGCAUAGUGAACCUGCUUAGGGGAAAUGGAAACAAAUAUAAAUUGCUGCAUGUUGAAGGAUGGGAUAAUUCUUCCGCCUUGUUGAGCAGUCUUCUACUCUUGCCCAACCCUCUCGAAACAGCCCAAACAAGCAAGAAAAAAAAGAAAAAAAGGGAAGUAUUUACUGCUUGCAAAGCUGCCUCGACAUAUAUUUGCACUUCUCUUUUCGAAGGGACGCUUUAUCACAAGCAUUUUUGGCAUCAGCAUGAAGCCAUCGAAGAGUCUCAUGAACGACGCAUCGUCAAGUUCAGACGAUGGAAUGUCUGAUGACGAGAACGAAUCGGGUGAUAAACGACCUGGUGGUGAUCAAAAUGAGGACCAAAGGAUGCAAGACAAGAAGGAGACCAAAGCACGAAAAGCCAGAACGAACCACAUCAUCUUCAUCUACAGAGGAGCAAUUUUCUCAAACCCAUAAAAGUGGUUACAAGUGGGAGCGGCUUACAACAGAUCCUAACGUUUACAGAGUCAGUGGCAUUCACUUGUGACCAAGAAUUUGAAGCGUUGAAGCGACUGAGUGCAUCACGAUGUGUACGAUCCUCAGCUUUAUCUGCCCACGACGCGGUGCCGGACGAACCCGGAUCGGUCUUUCGCCCUUGCAGACUCCGACGAGAUCGCCGGCACAAACUUUCUCGGCCAUGGUGGUGAAGGAGAUGUUUGGGACUCAACGUUUUUUUUUGGUUGCUUGCUUGCACUUAUGCUUGAUGUCUGCUCCCUGGAUGGUCUCAUCUAUUUAUAAGACUUCAGGGAGUUUUAUCUGGAUUCAGAGGCAUGAUUUUGGGCUGUUUGGCUGUCGCUGAGUUUAUCUGUAAAUCUUUGACUCUUGAACAGACAGUGUGUACACCUGUUAGGCCAAAUGAUUUGCCAAUCUUGGACGCUUGUGAUGUGCAAAGCAGAAGAAGCGUCUGCGAUUAUGAUUGUUGAUUGUCUGCUAAUUGGAGGCAAUCAGGAGGUUCCUCAUAGCACUUUGUUGCUAAUCAUUUGCACUAUUUUGUCCUGUCUGAUGAUGCAGCUGCUGCAGUCUAGUCGAGUAGUGGUUUGAACACCUGUAUGGAUGUACUCCUGACCUCACGGAAGACAUUUUGGUCAACCUUUUUGUUGAUAAAUUAAUAGAUGGAUGUCUCUUCAUUUUCUUGUGGUGGCACUUUCCUGCUAAUCAUUUGCAUUCCCUGAAUCAACAAAGUAGAACAUUGAUACAUGGUUGUCACUUGUCUCCUUGGAUCAACCAUAUGGUUAAGGGCAUUUUUAACCGAUCCCCUGUCCAGCGACCAGCGUUACAGGAGUAAAAAUUCGGUUUUACUCCUCUAACGCGCACCUAACCUAUCCCCAAUCUGCUCUAGUGGAGUAAAAAGUAUCCUCCAGCGUCUAUCCUUUCCCUAAAUAUACUUGGUCGUUGCGGCUCCAGGUAAAAGUCGCCCCUCUCCCUCACAUCAACCCCCGUCACUGCAGCUUCGCCGGCGCGCCUCCUGACGACCGCCCUCCAGCCCCGCCUUUUCCUCGUGGCCUUCCUUGGCCCCAUCCGCGCCUCUUCCUCGUGGCCUUCCUUGGCCCCAUCCGCCCUACUGCCCGACGUCGAGCCUGCUCGGCCCCGCAUCUCACUUUGCUUGCACACCGCUGCAGGUUUUAGCCAUUUUGGUUUAAACGACAUCGGCCGACAGGUGCACCACAACCACACCGCAAGUGUUCGACGAGUUUCCUAGGUGAGUUUUUUGUUCGUUUCUUUUUGAACCAAGCAGUUCAGUUUAAACGUAGCCGUAUGAAUAAUAGAUGAAGAGAUUGAGGAAGAUGGUCUUCGAGUACUCGUCGUCGUAUAUAGAGAAAGAAGACUACGAUAACCUUGACACCGUUUUAGACAUGAUUUUCAGUUAUGAUGUUGGGCUGCCUAGGACAGGAUCACAAUUUGGCUGCAUACAUAUCAACCAUGAUGAUAGAGCGAAGGGUUAUGCCAAGACCAGUUGGUGUGUUCAAAUUUGAAUAAUUUGGUCUGUAAACUUUCAAUUCCGUGUGUAAACUACAUUCAUGAUUAGCUUAAACAUUCAUAUUAUAUUUAGUUUGUAUGUGUGCUAAUAUGUACUUGCAAUGUAUAUUAGAAUUGCAAAGGUUAGAAAAAAAGAAAAAAAACUCCGCUAUAUAUAGGGGAUCAGCCAGUCCGGCCAAAACUUUGUGAGUAAAUAUACUCCACUAAGGAUUUUACUCGGCCGGAUCCUCCACUAUUUAUUGAUCAUAAAAAAAGAGAUGCCCUAACCUUUUGUUGAUGCAUUGGUACAUGGUUAUCUCCUUUGAUUUUUAUUUUUGCGGGGUAAAAGGGGAUUCUAUUACUCAAGGAGGCAAAUCAGCCAGUGCCAGUUUCAGCUAGGGUGUGACUGACUUUAUUUUGUAAGCGACUAAUAGACAUAAUAGAAAUCUCCCUAUAUUAAUUCAGCUUCAACCAUCCUCUUAAUCUCCUCGAAGAGGAAGCGAUGCGUAAAUCAGUCCCUUGUGGGGGUGUUCAGCAUGUUGACGGCUUCAACACUAUCCAUCUCAACAAGAAUUGGCAAGUCAGUGCGAUGCAAGGCUAGCACAAGUCCCUCCAUGCAUGCUGUCAACUCGGCUUCUAGGCCAUUAUCGCAUGUAUGAAUAUUUCUGCAUGCAGUAAAGAUGAUAUCUCCCUUUUCCGAAUGGUAUAUUGUUUAGCUAUGGGUAUAUGUACGAGACAAGAAGACCAUUGAAGGUAUAUCCUUCUAAGAUAACUUUUGUAGUCAUCACGGCAUAUAGAACAAAUUUGCAAGUUUGAAUGUAUAUGGGUGUUUGUGCUCCGGCACACAUUUUUUUGUUAUAUCCAUGAUGAUACAGGAAGGCAAGACCUUUCUACACCCUAUACGCCGUGAGUUUUGACUCUCGAUUGAUGUGCGUGGAUUUUUGACUUAGGGCACGUACAAUGCAUAGCCUCAGGGUGAUGCCCCGUAUAUCAUGUAGGAUCAGUUAUCAGAAAAAGUAGGUUCAGAUAAGGAAGCGGGAUCCUAUGCAGGAGGCGGAUGAUUAAGAGAAAAGGCGUGGUCCGGUGUAAAAAGUUGAAAAAAAUUAAAGUGAAAAGUAGAGAUGCAUGUGUAUCAGAGUCUUUAUUUUUUAUUUGUUGAUGAGGCACCUUGAUGUUAGCUUGCAUUGGAGAAUUUUUUUUUAAUAUAGAUGACUCAAGCUGCUUUUUAUCAUGGGGCAUCUGUAUCGAUAUGCCACCAUUAUACAUGCCUUAGUCACCUCUAUCUGUUUAAUAAAUGUUUAGUUAAAAAAGCAGCAUGCUCCUUGGGAGCACUUACGCGACGCUAUCUACGUCAAUUUGCUGGUGUUUCGCAUAGGCAAACCCCUGACUAGCACAUAUGACACUCCGGACUAUAGCCGAAGGGGCCUGUAGAAUUUUAUUGUCUCAUUCUUUAACAAUUUUUUUUUAAAAAAAUGAAGAAAAACGCAAGCAUUUUAGAAAAAAACAAAAACAUUAAAAAUUUGGAUCAUUUAAAAAGUUGUACUUUUCCUAUUNNNNNNNNNNNNNNNNNNNNNNNNNNNNNNNNNNNNNNNNNNNNNNNNNNNNNNNNNNNNNNNNNNNNNNNNNNNNNNNNNNNNNNNNNNNNNNNNNNNNNNNNNNNNNNNGAUGGUUGGAAAAAAACAAAAACAUUAAAAAUUUGGAUCAUUUAAAAAGUUGUACUUUUCCUAUUUUUUAUAUAUAAAUCGGGCAUUUUCUAAGAUAUCAUAUUUUUUGGAAAUUUGAAAAUAUUGUAAAACACUAGCAUUUUUUUUAAUCCGAACAUUUUUAUAAACAGGAUGUUUUUUGAAAUUCCCAACUUCUUUUGUAAACAUGAACAAUAUUUAAAAGUACGAUAUUUUUUUGAGCACAUGAACAUAUUUGAAGUUCCAGAAAAUAGUGUAUGAUUGACUUUUUGAAUUUGUAAAGAUUUCUUGAAAAAAUGAACUUUGUUGAAAAGUGAGAAAUGUUUUUGAAAAAUAAGUUUCAUUUUGCAAAAAAGAGUAAAGAAAAGAAAAGAGAGAGGAAAAAAUGUUCAGGAACCUUCUAGAAGGUUCUCCAAAUCGGGUCCCGUUUGCUACCUACAAAUGGGCUGCCACAUUUACGUAGCUCCCUUCCCUCGGUUGUGCGUUUCCUCGAGAAUCUGAUACAAUGUGCGUCAAAUAGGAAACACCUGACGGGGGUUAGUAUGACUAUGAAGGCAUUGAGGAGUCUCAUGCAUGAUGCAUCGACGAGUUCACACCACAUCCUUGUCGUGGUAGUGAUCAAAACAGGGACCAAGAGGAUGCAAGCACACCAUGAAAAGUGAGAACGAACCACACCAUGACCAUGAUCAUGUGCAGAUCGAAAGAGGAGUAACUUUCUCAAACUGAUAAAAUACAGCUACACAUAGGGAGCGGUUUACAACGGAUAAUAACAUCUACGAGCCAGCCACAUACAUUGACUUCUGAUCAAGAAUUUCAUGGUGGUGAAGGAGGUGUCUGUGACUAACUUCCUUGGUUGCUUGCUUGCAUUUCUGCUAGAUGUCUGUUCCAUUCGUGCUCAUCUACUUAUAAGGCUUCAGGGAGCUUUAUCUGGAUGGAGAGACAUGACAACUAAAUGCUUGCUCCUUUGUUGUGUUGUUGUAGGGCGUCGUCGGCUGUGUUUGGAUGAUGUUCAUUUUAAGAACUAACUGUACGAAGUGUUUGUUGUUGGUAUGAGAAGCUUCUGUUGAUCUGUUUUGUCCAAGGAUGACCUGGGGGCUGUUUGUCCCUUCAAAUCCUUGAGUCUUGAACGGCCACUGUGUGUGCACCCUGUCAGGCCAAAUGAUUUACCAAAUUUUGGACACCAGUGGUGUCUGGUGCAUGUAUCAUGUAUAUGUGCAGAGCAGAGAAUGGUUGCCAACCUGUGAUGUCCCCAGAUCAAGAGUAUUAAUCUGUCCACGAAUAAGCAUCUGUGAUUAUGUAUGCUUGUUAAUUGGGGGCCGUCAGAAGGUUCCUGUACCAUGCUUGCUGCUAAUCAUUUGCAUUGUGCCGUCUGAUGAUGUGCUUGCUUUGACUGGUCUUGGCUCAACACCUGUGCUGUACUGCUGCAGCCAUGGAAGGCAAUUAUUUGGUCAACCUUUUGUUGAAAAAAUGAAUGCAUGGCUGAACCAGCAAAUUUUGGACACCAGUGUUAGUGAUGAAGGCUGGGACAGAGUAGCUGAAUUAUACUGUAUCCAGCUUACUUGCUCUAACAAACUAGGCCAAACUCAACCUCGCGCCGUCUUGAUGGUUGGAAAAAAAAAACAUAACCGGAGUAGGCUGCGAGGCCCAAUCGGUCAAGGAGUGCAGUUGGAAGCAGGCAGUUGUCGCUGCUCUGUGAUGCCAGCCUCACGAUGGACCGUGAGGCCCAGCUUUCGCAUAGGCCCCAGGCGAAGCCAGCCUCACGAUGGACCUUGAGGCCCAGCUUUCGCAUGACAGGCCCAGCUUUCGCAUGGGCCCCAGGCGAAGCCAGCCUCACGAUGGACCUUGAGGCCCAGCUUUCGCAUGGGCCCCAGGCGGUCCACUACGCAACUUGGAACGGGCGGGCCAGCAAUAGCACACCCACACGAGGCCCGCAGCGCUACAACAGCGUCCACAUCACCUUACUGCCCCCACUCGGGUUACAAGCUCUCG
RNAcentral lists this long non-coding RNA (9567 nucleotides) under Hordeum vulgare. Its description in RNAcentral is "long non-coding RNA (HVUL_LNC017226)". Lineage: Eukaryota; Viridiplantae; Streptophyta; Magnoliopsida; Poales; Poaceae. The record is from RNAcentral.